ACCCGCUGAACUUAAGCAUAUCAAUAAGCGGAGGAAAAGAAACUAACAAGGAUUCCCCUAGUAACUGCGAGUGAAGCGGGAAAAGCUCAAAUUUAAAAUCUGGCGGUUUCACCGUCCGAGUUGUAAUCUAGAGAAGCGUCUUCCGCGUUGGACCGUGUACAAGUCUCUUGGAAUAGAGCGUCAUAGAGGGUGAGAAUCCCGUCUUUGACACGGACUACCAGUGCUUUUGUGAUGCGCUCUCGACGAGUCGAGUUGUUUGGGAAUGCAGCUCAAAAUGGGUGGUAAAUUCCAUCUAAAGCUAAAUAUUGGGGAGAGACCGAUAGCGAACAAGUACCGUGAGGGAAAGAUGAAAAGAACUUUGGAAAGAGAGUUAAACAGUACGUGAAAUUGUUGAAAGGGAAACGCUUGAAGUCAGUCGCGUCCUUUGAGACUCAGCCUUGCUUCUGCUUGGUGUAUUUCUCGUUGGACGGGUCAACAUCAGUUUUGACCGUUGGAAAAAGGCUGGAGGAAUGUGGCUUCUCCGGAAGUGUUAUAGCCUCUAGUCGUAUACGACGGUUGGGACUGAGGAACUCAGCACGCCGCAAGGCCGGGGUUUUACCCACGUACGUGCUUAGGAUGUUGGCAUAAUGGCUUUAAUCGACCCGUCUUGAAACACGG
This 657-nucleotide ribosomal RNA is filed under the name uncultured fungus. RNAcentral describes it as "eukaryotic LSU rRNA". It matches the Rfam family "Eukaryotic large subunit ribosomal RNA", at positions 23 to 664 of the family's 3401-position model. Lineage: Eukaryota; Fungi. The record is from RNAcentral.